CCGCGAGGCCGAGCCGGCCGUGAGGAGGUAGUGCGGGGCAGCGCGAUGCUCCAACGCCGCAGGGCAGCUCCGGGCUCCGAGCGCCGCUUCAGCUUCUACAAGGCAGCUCGUGUUGGAAGUUGGUGGUGUCACUGUGUGAAUGAAGGUCAGUUCAGGAGCAGCUGCUGAUGGAAGGAAUGAAGUCCACGGUAAUGAGCUGAAGCAUCUCCUGGUGGUUUUGCAGAGGUGAAACUCAGAUGGCAUCUUUUUACUGGUGGAAAAAGUUGGAGCAAAAAUCAUGGACCAAGUUGCUUUAGGGGAUGACUUGCCUCGUGUUGGAACAGGAGUUGGUGCCAUGAAGAACUGAAGUCAGCAAGAUGUUUGCCAAUUGUAUCAUGUAACAGAGACAUCAAAGAAAAUAUUCAUGGUCUUGGAGCAUUGUCCUGGAGGGAAGCUGUUUGAUUAUAUUGUUUCUAAGGACCACCUUUCAGAAGAGGAAGCUCGAGUCUUUUUUCGACAGACUGUUUCAGCACUUGCUUAUGUUCCCAGUCAGGGUCAUGCCCACAGAGACCUCAAACCAGAAGAUCCGCUGAUUGAUGAGAAACAUGUUUCUCAUAAUUUGAAGCUGACAGACUUUGGACUCUGUACAAAGCCAAAGGGAGGCCUUGAUGACCGCCUGAACACGUGCUGUGGAAGCCCAGCAUGUGCAGCACCAGAGCUAAUCCAGGGCAAAGCCUAUAUUGGCUCAGAGGCAGAUUUUUGGAGCAUGGGUGCACUGCGGUACGCUCUGCUGUGUGGGUUUCUUCCUUUUGACGAUGGCAGUGUGAUGGCACUCUACAGGAGGAUAACAGGAGAGAGGAAAAGACACUGUUCCAAAAUGGCUUUCCCCUAGCAGCACGCUGCUACUUGACCAACUGCUGCAGGUGAAAGGGCUGCUUCUAUUCAGAUUGAUGUACAAAAUGUUGUUGCAUCAGCUCAAAGCAUUGAUGGAGUGCUUAGAAAAUAUGCGGUGUUUAAACAAGUUAAACUGCUCCACACCUGAUGUCCUUGAAGAAAAGGUUAGCAUUGCCUUGUGCUGAAAAUUCUCCAAUAGUCACGUAGUACUAGUUAAUGGUUAUAGAAAUGAUUGCAGUUUUAAUAACUACACAGUCUUCAAGCAGCUUGCAUUUGGAUGUUCUUAAUUGUGCUGUGUAAUUAAAAGUGAUCUGUACACAAAAGCUGUUUCUCAAAGGAAGCUGAACGUACUGAGUGUGCCUUUGGGCUGUAUCUAUGCAGUCUCACAUACAAAAUGCUCGUGGAACAUUUACUGUAACCAUAGGUGCUGUAACUGUUCUUCACAGCUCAGGUGUUUGACCUUCCUUCUGGUGAAGGGAAUAAAUACUGCUGGUCUCUAUUUGUGCUUCCAGGCACCUUGAAGUUGUUAGGAAAAGAAUAACUGUCUGCAGUUCUUCUCGGUGAUGUAAGUAACAGCUUGAAUGUUGCUGCCCACUAGGCAGACCCAAAGAAGCAGAUGACAGUUAAACUCCUGUGAAAUCACCCUUGGCUCAUGCAAGGUUAUUCUGGUGCUGUUCAGUGGCAAAGUAAAUACCCAGUAAGUACACGCACUCGAAGAAGCCUAAGUAUGUUCUGGAGUCUUUCCUGGACCACUGGCAUCCUCUCAGAAUGGGAGUGAUAACACAUUUCUUCAGAGGCUGCUGACAAGUGGUGACUCUCCAGGGUCCAUUUUGGCACCUUCAACACCUUUGUCAGUGACAGAGAGAAUGGACCUAGAGAGCACCUUCAGAAAGCUUGCAGGCAGCCCCGUGCUGAGAGGUGCGGUGGAUCAAACAGGAGGUAGGGAUGUCUCAUCCUGGUGGCAUUCAGGGCCGGGUUGGAUGAGGCCCCGGACAGUUUGAUCUGGUGAGUUGCAGCUCUGCAACUUGGAGCUUGAUGGUCUUUAAGGUCCCUUCCAACUCAAGCCGUUCUAUGAUUCUCUGGAACUGUGCUUGUGCUCCUUAUCUCUCAAUUGUCUGACCUGUGCGAGAGGUUGGGGUAGCGGGGUUGGGGUGGGAACUGGGGGUGCGAGGGAGAUUCUUGCUGCAGAUACUGAGAAGUUGCUGUGUAUUUGCAGCCAAUGGCUGCUGCUGGCCUCUGGGUGCCACUGUUUCUCUGAAGAACAGCUGUGCUGAUGGUACACCACUGUGCUGUGCAUGCCGUGCAACUGAAUAAUUAAGAGGGGACAGAGGUGUAACUUGUGCUCUAGUGAAAAUCUCAUCUGCUGACAGGCUUUUGUACUUGAAUGCAGAACCUGUUGCCACAGAGGGACCAGUUGCUGAAGCGUGGUGACUCUUUCUGUUUACUCCUUGCAGUAUUUAGCCCUGAUGCUAACUAUUUAAAAUAGAAAAUCUGAAAUGGUGGCUAACUAUUGGCUUGAUUGGUGCAUAUCAGAAGACUAUCGUGGUGAUAGUGGCUCUGUGAGAUGACUUGGAAGCUGUUUCUUCAGUACAGGUCUUGUUCUUGCAGCUGGGGCACCUUGAUGAAGACUGUGCAACAGAACUUGCUGUGUUUCACAACCAGAGCAGAGAGAGUAUAUUGGCAUUAAUAUCAGAGGUGGAAUCGUGACCAGAUGUCACAGCCUAUCUCUUGCUUCAAUCCAGGAAGGUUCGUGGCAAGCGCAUCCACUUAAGGAUUCCAUCACAAACGACGUGCAGUACAACACAGCCAGCAAGCCAGGGAAGAAUCUCAACUGAACACUUCUUUUCAGUCUGAAAAGGCUGUGACAUCUGAAGAUGUGCCAGGUUGCAGCCAUGUGCCACAUGCAUUUGGAUCCAUGGAAUUUGCUGAUGGAACUUCAUUGUUUGAAGAAUCUCCACUAGAAGAGUUUGUUCUAAAUGCUCACAGAACAAAGCAGGUGUCUGAAGAUCCAGUGCUAGUUUCUGACAGAAAAAAUACAAUUCUUAAUCCAGAAAUCUGCUUCUCAGUGUGUACAAUGCUUAUUACAUAUUUAAGUAUCUAGAGGACCUUGACCAAAGGGAGAUACAGAUUGAGCAAAGAAGUAUGUUGAGCAUAAAUUGUGAUGCCUUCUACCUGAAAGCCAUGGUUCAUUUGAUGAGAACCUUAACUUCAGUGUUCGGUUUGCACUGAAACAGCGAGUAAGGAAACAAGCGAAGGAGUCAGUGAGGAUUUUAAAACAAAAUGGGAAGUGAUAAGGCACAGUUAAUAAGAUUUUGGAGUUAGGCAAGAGGUGGACAGAGCUUUAAAUGUACCAACAGAAAUUCAAUCUCUCUGUAUUGGACAAGAAAACCCACAGUGAAGCAAUUCAAAUUUCGCAGCUAAAAAAGUGAUAAUUCAUAGCUAUGUUUAGAUAAGCUGGUGAGGAGUAAUCCUAAAUGUAGAAUUUAGAUGAACAGAUAGAAAAAUGGCACUUGACAAUCUAUAAGAAGCAAACUCAUUUUAGGGGAGAAUCAGAGGUACUGUGUAUAACCAAGAUGUUAUAAUCACAAUAUAAUUGUGUAUAAUCAAUAGAUAUCAAAAUGUUAUAAUCGCAAUAUAAUCAAGAGAGUAAGGCAAAGCAGACAACGAUAACAAAAAGAGAAUAAGUGGAAGAGCUUACCCUUGGGCUGAGCUCACCAGAAGACACCAAAAGAGGGGAUCUCCACAAGAGAUCCUUCCCCUCUGGUAGCCAGCUCUUAAAUAGGUCCAGGAGGGGUGCAGCCUGGCUCCACCCCUUCCAGCAGCACAGGUGAAUUGCCUUCACCUGUGCUCCUCUGGCUGACUCAAGGCUCACCUCAGGUGAUCAAUCAGAGGUUCAGGCCAUGACUCAGCAGUUCCCAUACAUACUGAAGAGUUUUUAACUAUUUUGCUCAAUAGACAAGUAGUGUAUGAUGUUUUUAUGAGCAUUGUGUCUGACCUGCUUAGAUGUUAGAAUUUCCUUGACAGUGACUUCUCUGGAUGUGAUUGCAGUACCUGGCAGCAUUCAAGGUGUGAUACUCAGCUGGGCGAUAUGGAAUUCACACUGUCAGCUCCAGUGACAGGAAAAGUGGCAUCUAUGAAGCAUGCAAAGAAAUGUGGAUGCAGAGUCAGCAUGAAGAAAUGCGCUGCCCUUUGCACUUCCUGCUCCAAAGGCCUCCUUUCCAAAGAGUGAGACACAGAAGCAAGUGCAAGGCAAACCCCUCCAGGCACCUCCUUCCACAGAGAGCCAGUGCACGACAGUCAUCGCAGUUAAGAAGCCCAAAACACCAGCAAAUACGUAUGAACUGACAGCAGCUGAGGUUCUUCCUGAGAGGAGGUAAGUGUGCAGUUAUCUGUAUACGUUCUUGGUUUAGAGCAGUGCUACCUCAAUCAGUGAACAGCCUAGGAAGCAUUGUUCACAACAGCAAGCUGUAUUUCCUUUCUCUUGGUUAAAAUUCUCCUAAAACCUCUUGUAUUCCCUGGGAAACACUGAAAGCAGAAAAUAAAAAUUAAAACUAGAAGU
This is an RNA transcript of Lagopus muta (rock ptarmigan), 4432 nucleotides long. It is a transcript of the gene named maternal embryonic leucine zipper kinase-like, with no coding region annotated. Lineage: Eukaryota; Metazoa; Chordata; Aves; Galliformes; Phasianidae. The transcript is spliced from 12 exons. The record is from RefSeq and is a predicted model, not a curated record.